CUUAUCUUAAGAGGAGAGUAAAGCAUUAAAGAAAGAAAUGGAAGACGUGACUUAAACGCUAUGGAGUCUAACAUCCAAAUUUGCAUAAAGCCUGCAGGGAAAUUUAAGUCAAAUGUCAAGUAAUUAAAGCAUGAAAGCUAUGGCAAAACCCUAGUCUCAACUACUUCCUUCUUAUUCUUCUGCAUAUUAAUACAUAAUAUUUCAUGACCUCUCAUAGUCUCAGAGUACUGAAAAGAGAAGCAUUUAAGGGGUUGUCAGAUAGAAACAGAAAAAGCCUUAUUCUUAGGCUUCAAAGGGGAACUAUAUCAUUGAAAUCUAACUGGAAAAAAGAAAAAGAAAUUGAAAAAAAGUUAUUGAAACCUAACAAUUUUUUUUAAUUUAUAUAUGCAUAUGAUAUUUGAACCAGUUUCUUGCACAAAUGCAUGGUUCGAUCUUUUCUCGGAACUCGUACAUAACGAGAACUUAGCGCAUCGGGCUGCCCUUUAUAUGAUAUUUGAAACUCAUAGACCUAAAAAAUUCAUAUUCACAUCGCGUAGGAUCACUAAAAGAAGUGUUUCCUAUUAAGAUAUGAACUUGAGACAUCGAUUAAGAAUAAAAAAUUUUCUUCCUUUCCGAUUGCACUUAUUGGUGGUGAAACCUAACAAAGAAAAAUGACUAAGACAAUGACCUAACUAUUAACAAAUUCACACUCACAUAAAUAAGUGCUUUCCAUGAGAUCCGAACCCGGGAUAUCUGAUUAAAAAUGUGAAACUGCAAAGGAAUGAAUAACCACUUGAAAUUGUUUGAAAAGAAUCUUAUAAUUAGAGCUCAAAAUGGUGUUUAAAAGUGCUCAUUUGUAUUAUUACUACUAACAUAGUAACUACACCGAGAAAAACUAUGGAACACAUAGAAAUCCUCGUGUUCCUCUUUUCAAAGAGUUUUUUUUUAAUUUGACAGUUUCAAAGUGUUAAGCUCUAACCUCAUGUCACCAAACAAAUUACUAUUUCUUAAAUCAACUUCAAAGAAUGGUUAUUAGGAUUCCUAUUCUUAAAAAAAAAAUUGUUUGAAAAAAUAUAGUUUUCAAUUGGCUCAAUCGAUUUAGUCAAUAAUUAAAAGAUCCAACCUAAGCAACUUAAUAAUUUUUGACUUACAUAUAUACCCAAUAUAAGUUUCUAUAUAUAGUAUAGUUUUUCGAUGAAGGGUGUCCAGUUGACUACCCUUCAAUCACUACAAAAAUAAAUUGAAAUUAGCUACGAAUGUAGUCGCUAAUUUAUCGCUAAAACGCUCGUAGCUAGCAGAAUUUCUUGAUAAUUCGUCGCUAAAAAUGAGAUUAGCGACAAAUAUUUCUGUUUAGCUACAGAAUUUUCUUGUCGCUAAAAUCUGAUUUUUUACUAGUGAAUGUAUGUCGCUACGUUACUGAGUACACCUAAUUACACACCGGUUAAUGUAAGAACUAGUAUAAGUAAAGGAUCAAAAGGAAGUGUACAUGGCAUGAAGAGAUAUCAUGAUAUUGUCCAGAAUGCAGAAGAUGAAUUGAUUUGUCAAGUGGUUAUGAUUAUGCAAGGAAGUCAAGUGAGACUGCUACAAUGGAAAAAUUAUACUUAAUUAAAUUAAAAGAUUUGACUUAUAUAUAUAUAUAUAUAUAUAUAUGAUCAUAAAGAACUCAGUAGAGAAAGUAAUUACCUGAAAAUUGUGAGUGAAAUUUGUGAAGAGAAGAUAGCAAAAAGCAAGAAGAAGCCAUAGAACUCAGGAUGGAUAGCGCCAAAGUAAUUGAUAGUUUUAUGGGAAAGAACCAAAUUCAGAAGAAAAUAAAAACAAAACGAAAGAUUCAAAAAUAAAAAACCAACAUAUAUCACAUCAUUUUCAUUGGUGCUAUCCCUCCUGAGCUUUACAGAUUCCUCCAUACUUUAUAUAAAUAUGUAUUUUUUAUUCAUGUAUUCAUUUAGCUCCGGCUAAAAAUACGUGGAUCUAGAGAACCUGGUUCGGAAAUAACUUCUUAUUAGCAGGAGCUAAUCACAGUAAGAGAAUCCAUCCUCUGAAAUAGAAGUUUUUUC
RNAcentral lists this long non-coding RNA (2033 nucleotides) under Nicotiana tabacum (common tobacco). RNAcentral's name for it is "long non-coding RNA (NTAB_LNC001139)". The record is from RNAcentral. Lineage: Eukaryota; Viridiplantae; Streptophyta; Magnoliopsida; Solanales; Solanaceae.